AUCCAUUUGUAUUCCACUUCUAAAGUGGCUGGUGUUUCAGUCAUGGCCUGACUGGGCUGGGAAAAACAACAAAACAAUUUAAGGGAAAAAAGAAAUAGAGGUUUAUCAAAAUGGCCAUUUUGUUUUACUCUCCCUAUCUUUGUGUCUCUUAACAGAAGCUUGAUGUGUAGAUAGUAAGCAUAGAAAGCACAGACUAAAGUGACAUUUUCUCAAAGUGUCAGUCUGCUGUUAAAUACAGGGAGGAGACCUGUAAAAAGUGCUGUAACCUUUUUAUAAGGUUCUUCUUCUUGCAUGCGUAGAGAACAAUGCAAAUACGUUUUCAUUAGAAAUAUGCAAAUAAAAUAAAAUAUGUGAGACACUCAAAUGGGUGGACCAUACCGUUCAUUGUGUAACUUACAUAUAACUUACCUUAACGUUUUUCAUGUGUUUCCGUAAAAUGUAGAGUAUAAAUAUACAAAUCGCUGUAACUAGUAGCACCGCACCACAAAUAAACCACUUCUCUAGAGUCCUUUCUGAAAUGUCUAGGCCAAAAAUAAUACAGACAUUAAAUGGCUCUCUCUUCCACAGUUGCUCUCGUUCUUGAGAUGACAAAUCCAAGCCAGUUGUUGCCCAGGCUGGUUUUUCAUAACUGAGAACGUUCUGCAGGAAGACUACAGUCCCCAAGAGAAGCACAUAAGAGCAGGCUCCAAGAAAUAUUCUUACUGUAUAGUAGUCAACCAGAACUACUUCUGUUAGAGAAGCUUCAAUAUGAGAACAUCAGGCAUGGAGAAAUUCUAUGAGGUCAUAAAGGUCUCCUGAUCUUUAUAAGAAGUGGUCUAUGAUGUCACGAAUACAUCAAGGGAGCAGCCCGAGAGAGAGAGAGAGAGAGAGAGAAUUCUUGCACAUGGCAGGCUUUUAUGGCCAGACCACCGUAUGGUGCCCUCCAGCUGGCCUGGUUCUGCCCUGGCAAAGGGCUACUGAGUGCAGGUCUGCCUUUGACGCUGCCAAGGAGGCCCUCAUGACAUCACCAGGGGACAGAAUUGGCCGCCAUGGCAGAAGAUGUCCCAGAAGAAGUGAACAGGACUCUACCAGUGACCACCAUGAGGGAAGGAUGUUCCACUUUCACCAGAGCUGUGCCAAAGAAGGACCCCAGGACUGCUGGAGCCCUCACAAGGUAUGAGUGACUUCCCUGACUAACCCCACCACGGGAGGGAGGGGGGCUUAUAAUCUGUCCUUAGUUUCCCUAGGCACUCUCUCCUUUCCGUCUCCUCUGUUGGAGUGCUGGACCUGCCUGCAGUCACCAGGAGGCGCCGUGCUGUGAGGCGCAGAAGCUGUGCCCAGUUGCCCCCAGCUGCCAACUACAAAGGGGGGCCCAAGCUGCAGCCAAGAAAAGGCAGCCAAAUGGGAGUACUGCAUCACAGCCUCCAUCAUCCCCAGCCCUCACCACCUCCACCUUCAUGCUCCAUUUCCCAUGACUCCAGACCAAGGGACAUCUGUUUCAAACACCAUGGGAUCACCCACCACUGACUGAACCUCAGCUUUCACCUCUUCAAGCUCCUGCCCUCCAACAAAAAGGCACAAUCUGAUCUACCAAGGCAGAGGCCCUGCAUGCAGUGAAAUGUCGGGGCUUUGGGAAAUGUUCAUAGCCAUUUCCAAGCCCCGAAGGGGGGAAAAUGUGAUCGAGGUGACCUCCCCUCCAGGACUUUGUAAAAGAUAGUUCAAAAAUCAAGACUUUAUGUUCUAUAUUCCAUAUAUUAUAGUAGAAGGUGAUUGGGACUUUUUACUGGAGUUUACUGUGGAUUAUCCCUGCACUCUGAGGCAAGAGAUAACAACUUCAUGAAUUGUGAAAUCAUACUGUUAGGACUCCACUUCUAUAUUGGGUUCCCCAGAUGUUGUAAACUUCGUUUUUAUCAAAUGUUUUCUAUUGUUUAU
RNAcentral lists this long non-coding RNA (1911 nucleotides) under Anolis carolinensis (green anole). RNAcentral describes it as "lncRNA (ENSACAG00000045592.1)". The record is from RNAcentral. Lineage: Eukaryota; Metazoa; Chordata; Lepidosauria; Squamata; Anolidae.